AUGUUCAAUAGAACAGGAAUCUUGUGUGCACAUGGUCUAAAAGUGCUUGAUUUGAUGAACAUAAAGACAUUGCCGGCACAUUAUGUCUUGAAGAGGUCGACUAGAGAAGCUCGCAAUGGAAGUAUUGAAGAUAGACAAGGAAGGAAUGUGGUAGAAAAUCCAAAAAUGGAAGCUGAACUUCGAUACAAGGAUUUGUCUCAUAAAUUUCACAAAAUGGCACAAAAAGCAGCCAACUCUCCACAAUGUUGUAUUCUAUUGGAUAAUGCACUUGAUUCCGCCGCUCCGCAUAUACAUGAUUUACUCAAUGCAUCCACUAGUGCCAUGAAUGAACUAUGUAAAGACAAAGAGAAUGUUGACCCAAAUGUGCAGUAA
This 372-nucleotide ribosomal RNA is filed under the name Triticum aestivum (bread wheat). RNAcentral describes it as "partial small subunit ribosomal RNA". The record is from RNAcentral. Lineage: Eukaryota; Viridiplantae; Streptophyta; Magnoliopsida; Poales; Poaceae.